CCCUGGUCCCUUCUUUUGGAUCACUUACUAUGAGAGAAGCCAGCUGACAUAGCGUGAGGACACCCCAGCAGCCAGCCAAGAGGAGAAGUGAGCAACUGAGGCCUCUUGCCAUAGCUACAAAGGCCCUGUCAGAACUGGACUACCCAGCUCCAGCAGCACUCAGAUGUCCACAGGCUCAGCUAACUUCUAGACUGGAGCCUCAGGACAUGCCCUGAGUCAGGACUACCCAGCUAAGCUGCUCCCAAAUUCUGGACUGCACUGGAAAUGACAGCAAACAUUUUGAACACACAGUGAAUGCAAAGGUGAAUCAGGGAUCAGUUUUUGGCCUUCAUUCUGAAUGGGUUCUGAGAUGGAGAGCCCUCUGAUUAGCUGAUGAUCUCAC
Molecule: long non-coding RNA, 382 nt
Organism: Heterocephalus glaber (naked mole-rat)
Lineage: Eukaryota; Metazoa; Chordata; Mammalia; Rodentia; Bathyergidae
Source: Ensembl